This is a long non-coding RNA of Cannabis sativa, 2325 nucleotides long. RefSeq lists it as uncharacterized. The transcript is spliced from 4 exons. Lineage: Eukaryota; Viridiplantae; Streptophyta; Magnoliopsida; Rosales; Cannabaceae. The record is from RefSeq and is a predicted model, not a curated record.
UGACAGCUCAGUAAUCCUCAGGGGGUGUGAGUCCACGUGUCAUUCUUAUGGGAGUCUGGUCUUGAGUGUCUAGGCGAAGAAUUUGCACUAUAACAGAACCUCAUGAUUCUCAACAUGGUAUGAGAGCCAUAUCCCUUGCGAGCAAGUAAUCCUAUCCGAUCCGCACCUAUACAAACAAAAAUUUUACUUUUUUUUACUAUACACGUAUUUUAAAUAUCUAUUCUAUAUAAAGUGUGCCUAUAUAACAGAAAUUCUUGGUUUAUGAGAAAUUCAUGGGUGACUUUUAAUUUUUAUUUAAUAAAAUAAUAAAAUAUUAUUUAUAUAUAAUAAAAUAAUAAUAAAACAAAUCCUAUUAAUAUUUGAACUGAUAUUAAAUAUUCGAGAAUCACACCCCAUUUAAAAAGAAAACAACGGAGAUUAAUCUCAAAUCCUAUACGAUUGAUUAUGAUGAGAUGGUCUUAUAAAAUUGAAGGCUACCACACCUUUGUUCUCUCGCCUCAUUCUCACCUGCUCCGAUCCAAGCAUCGUCUUUAAGAAAACCCGAUCCUAAUCGUCGCAAGCCUGGUCAGUUAACUGGUAGACUUGCUCUUCGGCUACCACUCCAAUCCGGAGUACAUCGUCAUCUCAACCGGAGAACAGAAUGCGGCUUCAAAUCUUGAAGUUGAGUCAGAUCGUUUACUCUACAAUGAUGUCGUUCGAGUCUCCGAUUCAGUUGAUCGAUUGCAGAUUUUGGACAAUAGCAAUGACAAUAUUUAUAUGGAUUGAAUUUUAAGUCGUGUUGCUUCAACUGCCAGUUACCUACUUCUGAUUUUGAAUAUUCUACAACAACUACAAGGACAUGGAGGAGUAAGAGUAAGACACCUCGUCCAUUUCAAACCAUCUGCUCUUCUCUUCAAAAUGGAGGAGAAAACCAGAACCCACUUCCUCCUGAUCGUGCCAAGUAACUGAAAAUUAAAAUACAAUUUGAGUCCUUCUUCAAUUGUUAUAAUUUAAAUGAACCAUCUAGCAUCAUGUCGAUUGAUCAAUUGUUGGGUAGUUUUUCUGCUGUAGAUGUGGAGGAGGAGUCGAAGAAGUGAUUUUGGUUGAAAGAUAUGGCAAUGGUACUGCUAAGAGCUGUAUAGCACUGUGACUUUACGUCAAGGAGAGAAGAAGCAUUACAAUAAUAAGGUUGAUGUGUACAUGACUUUUGGAAUUGUCCUGUGGGAAUUAUUAACCAACCGUAUGUCAUUUGAAGGAAUUUCAAAUUUACAGGCUGCCUAUGCUGCUGCUUUUAAGGUGCACAAAGUCAUCUAUUUACCUUUUCAUUAUGUAUUCAUUAACAUAUUUGUUUUAUUAGUUCGAAAUAGAAUAUGCUUAUACUGUUCAAUAAUAACAUUUUCUGUCAAUUCUGCAAGGGUAUAUAGUUGAACUCCUUAUGGUCUGGUUCAAUUUCUGUUCUUGAUGACCUAUUUAUUUUGUUUUUUUAGAGAGAGAAGACCUAUUUGUUUUGUUAAUUUAGCUGAUUUGCAGAUUAUAUUUGUUUCCUUUAUUUUUUUUUAAUAUUUAUUAAUUUGUUAGAACAUGGUAUAAUAUUCUGUUUCACUUUGAAGUAUUUUAACAUUUCGUUUAUUUUUUUUUUGUUACACUAAAAAAACUAAGUAUUCCAAGAUUUUUGUUACAAUAAUUUUUUUUUAAUAUUCUUAUAUUUUAAUUAAAAUAAUAUAAAAAAGUUUUCAAAUUUUGAUAUUUGUAGUUAGUUUAUUUUUAAAUUUGAUUUUAAAUUAAACUAGAAUAUUUUAUGUCAAUUUAAAAUUUAUUAAUAACAAAAUAUAAUUAUUAAAUUAUUCAUUGGAAUGGACUAAAAAUCAAUCAGACGCCACUCUAAUAAUUAUUUUACAUGCCAUUCUAAUAGUGGGUAUUCUGUUAAAUCUAUCUCCAUUGCUUGUGAUAUAUAAGAUAUACUACUCUAUUGAUCAUAUCAAUAUUGAUUAAAUCUACUUCCAAUAGUAAGUUUUUUAAUUUUAUUGCUCAUCUCCUCUUUUAAUUAGGAAACAAAUUCGGAAAGAAAAUUAAAUUGGAAGACCAUGCUUGGAAAAUAUCUAAAUCUCAGAGGAAUAUAUAAAAGGGACUCUUAAUAGUUUCUAAUGAAAUAAUGUUAUACAUGUUUAUGAUUAAAUCUUUUCAGUAAUUUUUUUUUUUAGUUUAUUUAAAUAAAUUUCAGUAUUUCUAUUAAGAUAAAGAAAUCUUUUCAAAUGACUUUCUUCUUUAAAAAUUUCAGUAUUUCUUUCUUAGUUUAUUUAAUUAAUUUUUUCUAUUUUCAUAUGAAUUUUCAUUUGUGGAUUUCCA